Planktothrix serta PCC 8927 is the source of this 72-nucleotide non-coding RNA. NCBI's taxonomy places the organism in Bacteria, Bacillati, Cyanobacteriota, Cyanophyceae, Oscillatoriales, Microcoleaceae. The record is from Rfam.
GGGCGGUUAACUCAGCGGUAGAGUGCUUCCCUUACAAGGAAGAGGCCACAAGUUCGAAUCUUGUACCGCCCA